GGCCGGCUCGCGGCACGUCCCCCACGGACAGGGCCUCGGGGGGUGGGACGCGGGGUGCGGGGGGGGACAUGGGCGCCCUGGGCUCACCCGAGGCCGAAAGUGGAAACGGGCAAGGAAAUGGGAGAAAGGAUGCCAGGCGCCGGGGAACUGGCCAAUGAGGAGUGGGCGGGUGGGCGUGAGCCUGGGGAUCCCGGGCCCAGCCGCCGGGGGCCGGAGGGCGGGACUUCCUGCUCCGCGCACCUUCCUGGUCUUUUGUUUCAUAGCAACGGAGUAGUGGCCGCGAGGGCGUCCCGGGCGGGGGCGGGGCCGCGGCCGCGGGAUCCCGGCAGCCCCCAGGGCUCGGGCGCCGCCGCCCCGGGACGGGACGGGACGCGCACCGGCCCGAAGUCCCGGAGCUCCCGAGCGAUCCCUCUUACGUGCAGUUUAACAUGAAAGCAGCAUCCUUUGCCAGUGUGGUGAUUUGUAACCUACAGAGAACUUGGAUAUGGCAUCUCUCCAGGAGAGGAGUGCUCUCCUAGAAGAUCCUGAACUGAGCCAGAAUGCACGAGGGCUCAGUUAUCCUGAACAAUUCAAUAUCACAGGAGGUAGAAUGGGCAAAACCAACAUCUUAUUUGUGCACUGUGUUUUCACACAUUCAAAUGUAAACUGUGCCCAAAUAUCCUUGAAAGAGCACCCCAGGAGAAAUAAGCUGGACCACUAUGCUAUCAUCAAGUUCCCCCUCACCACCGAGUCAGCCACAAAAAGAAGAAGAAGAAGAAGAAGAAGAAGAAGAAGAAGAAGAAGAAGAAGAAGAAGACGACGUCAAAACACACUCGUGUUCAUUGUGGUGUCAAGGCCAACAAGCACCAGAUCAAACAGACUAUGAUGAAGUUUUAUGAUAUUGAUACGGCCAAGGUCAACACCCUGAUCAGGCCCGAUGGAGAGAAGAAGGUAAAUGUUUAACUGGCUCUCGACUAUGAUGCUUGAAUGUUGCCAACAAACUUGGGAUCAUCUAAGCUGAGUCUAGCUCGUUAAAUCUAAAUAUAAAUUUUCACCAUAAAAAAAUAAAAACCAACUCUGUGAAAGCA
Molecule: long non-coding RNA, 1067 nt
Filed under: Vulpes vulpes (red fox)
Lineage: Eukaryota; Metazoa; Chordata; Mammalia; Carnivora; Canidae
Description: lncRNA (ENSVVUG00000021790.1)
Source: RNAcentral